Molecule: long non-coding RNA, 630 nt
Organism: Pectinophora gossypiella (pink bollworm)
Lineage: Eukaryota; Metazoa; Arthropoda; Insecta; Lepidoptera; Gelechiidae
Exons: 3
Source: RefSeq, a predicted model, not a curated record
UCACCUCGUAGGCGCCCUUCCUCGCGCACGUUUGCCAUCUAUUUGCCCAAAGAUGAUCUGCUUCUCCAGACUGUGCUUCGGAGACCGCAUAAUAUGUCCGAAGAAGCUUAGGGCACGAUUCCGGCAUAUUGAGGAGAGCCGCGUCGUGAUCUUGAGCUCUUUUAAUAUGGACUCAUUCGUACACGUAAAAAGCCUUAAAUUACCAAGUAGAGAAAGUCCGGCAUGAGGUGAGCACGAAGUUUUGAAGACAGGAGUGAUUGUAUUAGAUUUCCUCCUGAGCAGUUGCACUACAAAUUUAGUGAUGAAGAGGCAAUACUUGACAGAAACCUUAAGUGGGAUGACAUAAUUAUAAAGAAAAUCAAUAAGAGGAUGAACUCUUUUAAUGUUUAUAAAACAAUAGUAUGGAAGAAUUUUCAUGCAUCUUGGAGCAAUGGCAACAUAUUUGGGAGUUGUGAGUGACAACGAGCAGAUUACAUAACAAUGGGAGGAUAACAAGGGCCUUAACUGAAAAAACUGGUGAAUGUUCCCAAAUAAACCUCACAGAUUUAGAAGAAACACAAAAUAAAUUUGUUUAUUUAUUUUAUUUCUGUUCCCUACUAAACUAGUAAUAAAACAUACUUUUUACAAAUA